Molecule: non-coding RNA, 126 nt
Organism: Triticum aestivum (bread wheat)
Lineage: Eukaryota; Viridiplantae; Streptophyta; Magnoliopsida; Poales; Poaceae
Source: Rfam
AAUAUACUCCCUCUGUCUGAAAAAGCUUGUUCGAAACUUGUUUCUCAAAUGGAUGUAUCUAGCACCAAGUUAGUGCUAGAUACAUCCAUUUGAGGGACAAACUUUUUUUGAUAGAGGGAGUAGUAG